GGCCUCCCAGUGCUCACCACAGGCUGUGUUCUUACACUGACUGCACAGAAAGAAGAGGCAGUAUACCCACCCGUAUACACCUCAGCACAGCUCUUUGCCUGGUCUGUAUUGUGGAUGGGGGGGAUCAG
Small nucleolar RNA from Molossus molossus (Pallas's mastiff bat), 128 nucleotides. RefSeq annotates it as small nucleolar RNA SNORA51. Lineage: Eukaryota; Metazoa; Chordata; Mammalia; Chiroptera; Molossidae. The transcript has a single exon. The record is from RefSeq and is a predicted model, not a curated record.